This 76-nucleotide transfer RNA is filed under the name Chloroflexota bacterium. RNAcentral describes it as "Chloroflexi bacterium tRNA-Arg". It matches the Rfam family "tRNA". Rfam says of the family: Transfer RNA (tRNA) molecules are approximately 80 nucleotides in length. Their secondary structure includes four short double-helical elements and three loops (D, anti-codon, and T loops). The record is from RNAcentral. Lineage: Bacteria; Bacillati; Chloroflexota.
GCCCCUGUAGCUCAGGAGGAUAGAGCAGCGGUUUCCUAAACCGCGUGCCAGGGUUCGAGUCCCUGCAGGGGUACCA